Molecule: long non-coding RNA, 1291 nt
Organism: Nicotiana attenuata
Lineage: Eukaryota; Viridiplantae; Streptophyta; Magnoliopsida; Solanales; Solanaceae
Exons: 3
Source: RefSeq, a predicted model, not a curated record
GGAUUUGUGGCAUGAUUAUUACUUCAUCUUGGACUAAGUAGUAGACCUUUGAUAGCAAAUAAACUAAUUAUUAAAAUAUGCACUUUUUUAGAUUUUCAACUAAUAAAUAUGAUUCUUUCUGUUUUGCUUAUUGCCUUUGCUGGUUUCACAAUAUGGAUGGGAGAGUGGACAUCUAUACGUCGUGCAAUCAGAAAUUAAACAAAUGUUUAUUUUUCAUUUCAUGAGAGACAAAUUUGUCCUUUUUUUCUUUUAGUUAUUAAAUUACUUCAUUUCGUUUGACUCAUGAGUCGGUUGUGAAUGUAUAAAAUAUGACAUGUAGGUGAGAUGAGGAAGAAGCCGACAAUUUUAAUGAAUGCUUUUUGUAUGACCCCAUAAUAAGAAGCAGGAUGAUAGACGGAUCAAGAGCUCAUGAAAUAUACUUGGGUGCUUCAUUCAGCCAUUUAGGCCAUGCUAGGAACACGUUUCCAGGGAACCUGGCUUCCUUGCUUGCCGCUCUCUAUUUCCACGGAGAUGGAAUCGCUGAGCGGCUUAUGCAGCACUGAUGCAAAAUUAUAUUCUCACAUGUAUGGCCUGGUUGAUUGUGAACUGUGGAUGGCUCAUUUCAUGAGGAACAACAAGUGAUGAUGCAUGUGCAUUAGGAAUUAUAUAUAUAUAACCUUGUCCUUUCUUUUAAUUGUCGGGGCCGUCAUGAGUGCCGAAACCGAUUUCGGUAAGAUGAUGAUGGCUCCUUCGGGCCCUCGAGAAUCCACGUACCGCCACGGGGGAGGCCCUCAAAAAAAGUGAUAGAGCAAGAAAGAAAGAAAGGAUCAAAACAUCACGGGCCGCACGCAAAAGAAGAGAGAGGAUAGCCAGAAUUGUAUUGAGGCCGCAGCAACAAGAAAACAAUAUAUAUAUAUAUGAAUAAACUACUAGAUACUAACAGAUACAGCCUAUAUAAACUACUAGAUACUAACAGAUGCAGCCUUUGGUGGUAAGUGCAUGGCUUCCCAAGUAGUUUGGCAGGUGUGCUAGGAGCAAUUGGUUCGAGGACUGAAGUUUUUUGGAAGUCGCCAUCAUAUAGACAUUCAAGAAGGAAUAAGCCAGUGAACUUGAUUUGUUUAGUCUCUAAGCGUCACAGUGCGAUUCUUUGCUUGAACUCUAGGUACCCCCAUACAGUUGUAACAUAUAACCAGAAAUUCUUUCUCUAUCAUCAAAGGUUUUAGAUUAGAGAUCAAUACCGAUACAACCUUUUGCUAAAAUAAGAAGCAACUUGAAAAAGAUGUUGUAAAUGAGGGUUGGUUGUUGGAACAGA